GCUUUCAUAGCUCAGUUGGUUAGAGCACCCGUUUAGUAAGCGGGAGGUCUUGAGUUUCACUCUCCAUGAAAGCA
RNAcentral lists this transfer RNA (74 nucleotides) under Erythranthe guttata (spotted monkey flower). Its description in RNAcentral is "Mimulus guttatus (spotted monkey flower) tRNA". It matches the Rfam family "tRNA". Rfam says of the family: Transfer RNA (tRNA) molecules are approximately 80 nucleotides in length. The record is from Rfam by way of RNAcentral. Lineage: Eukaryota; Viridiplantae; Streptophyta; Magnoliopsida; Lamiales; Phrymaceae.